This is a long non-coding RNA of Acanthopagrus latus (yellowfin seabream), 362 nucleotides long. RefSeq lists it as uncharacterized. The transcript is spliced from 2 exons. The record is from RefSeq and is a predicted model, not a curated record. NCBI's taxonomy places the organism in Eukaryota, Metazoa, Chordata, Actinopteri, Spariformes, Sparidae.
GCUGCGACAGAGAGCCGGUGUGAACAAAGCUGUGACCCUGAAAGAGAAGCAGCAGAAUGAAAACUCGACUCUGAUUUCGCUUUGUGUCAAAAUGUUUUUCGUGAUGAAGUCCGUUAGAGAGGGCUACGGAUUACACUCUACAUUUGGCAUCGAGAGAGCAAAGGUGACAGACCCACGCAGGUGUCUUGCUGUGAUUUACGCUUUUAAUUGGAAACCAAAAGAGCCGGAGGACAUGGAAAACGUGAAUAGAUCUGCUGGCUGCUGCACAUACUAUGUUGCUGUUGUGUCCUCCAUUGUCUGAAUUUUACUUCCUCGGUUCACUAAAGCUUCCAAGCCUGAGAUAAAUAUUGGCUAAUGCAUAA